CCGUGUAGUGUGGGAACUGCACAGUCUCUGACCGAAAGACCCUACAGCGAGUUGUAAGAACAGCUGAAAAGAUCAUCGGAGUCCCUCUACUCACCAUCGACUCCAUACAUAAACUGCUAUUGUGGAGGACCCCUCUCACCGCGGGGUGGGGUUUUGGGUUGGCCCACCAGGUGCGCGUGGGGCGGCAGCACAGCACACCUCAACCUGCACAGCAGCCAAAUUGCGCCCUUCUUCUCUCCUCCCCAAGAGGAGGCAGUCAGGCCGUCAGACAGGCCGUCAAGUCUCUGUCUGUUCAUCCAUCCACUGGUCCGCCUUUCCCCUUCUCCAACCCAGGCCCUCUUGGUCUGGACCUCCCUUUCCGAGCCUCCUUCUGUUGGCUGAGGGUGCUACCUUAACCACCGGAUGUGUCCAUUCUAUUCCAUGCUUGCCAGCCAUGGCUUGCUGGGUUCCCCCCAUUAUGACCGUAAUCAGGGCAAGGACUGAAAACUACAGGAUGGGCCAUUGGACGAGUCUUACUGCUUAUUAGCCCAUUCCCCGUUGGGGGCACAUGCACAGUCUAGCAGCGUAAUCCCGGUUCAGCAUGCGUGACACCCUGGGCUGGUUGUUCGGUUGCUACCUGUUGGUCGGAGGGUGUUGAACAGUGGGAUCUCGUAAUGAUUAACGAACAAUAAUGCCAUGUGUUAACAUCAUUGGAUGAUGUGAGGGACAUGCCCCAUACAACUGAGAAUGGACCCGCAUGGUAAAUAAACCCAAAUGCUUUAUCAUCAAUUAGUGACACAUAUGAAUGGAUAAAUGAGAUUCCUACUGUCUAGUGAAACCACAGCCAAGGGAAUGGACUUGACGGAAUCAGCAGGAAAAGAAGACCCUGUUGAGCUUGAUUCUAGUGUGACACCGUGAAGAGUCAUGAGAGGUGUAGAAUAAAUGGGAGGGUCUGGCUGCUGGUGAAAUGCCAUUAGUCAUCAUUUCUUUUAUACUUACACAGUGAGGUGAGCCCCACAUGGGCUGUUGGUUCUGGCGUCCCAGUCCAUGGACAAUGCCAGGUGACUAGGGUAGUACAACUGGUAAAUGGUAUCGUAGGUGUCCUGUGGCAGCCUCAGGGAGGAUAGAAACUUCAAAUGGGUCAGAAGGCCAAAAGCUUGCUUAAUUUUGAUUUUCAGUAUGAAUACAGACCAUGAAAGUGAGGCCUCAUGAUCCUUCCGGCUUUUUCGAGUUUCAUGCAGGAGGUGUCAGAAAAAUUACCACAGGGAUAGCUGACUUGUGGCAGCCAAGCUUUCAUGGAGACAUCACUUUUUGAUCCUUCGUUGUCAGCGCUUCCUUUCGUUGUGAAGCAGAAUUCACCAAGCGUUCGAUUGCUCACCCACUAAUAGUGUGUGACCUAGGUUUUUAUUUUCAUGAGACAGGUUAGUUUUAUUCCAGUGAUGUUGCUGCUGUAGUAAUCGUGUUCAGUACAAUAGGAACCACAGGUUAAGAUGUUUAGUGCAUAUGCUUGGCUGAGAAGCCAGUGGUGCUACGCUACCAUCUGUGAGAUUAUGACUGAGCACGUCUAAGUCAGAAUCCUGCCUAGGUGCAAUGAUACCUAGUACUGAAGAUCCAUGGUUAUGCACAGAUAUCCAGCCCCCAUUGCAGGAGCCAAUGUUGGAGUGCCUCCCACAACUGAACCGGCACAUGGACAGGCGAGUGCCGCUCCUCUCCUGAUGACACACCAUAUUUUCGUAUGGAACUUGGUGCUAAAACCUUCGCAGAUGGCCUGAUUCUGGGUCAGGGUUUCAUAGGUAGCAGAGCAGCAGCCUCGCUGAAAUCUGUUGAAAGUCAGCCCUAUCUUCCAAUCUUUUUUUGGCCAGUGUUAG
RNAcentral lists this ribosomal RNA (1847 nucleotides) under Scleropages formosus (Asian bonytongue). Its description in RNAcentral is "eukaryotic LSU rRNA". It matches the Rfam family "Eukaryotic large subunit ribosomal RNA", at positions 2009 to 3401 of the family's 3401-position model. The record is from RNAcentral. Lineage: Eukaryota; Metazoa; Chordata; Actinopteri; Osteoglossiformes; Osteoglossidae.